This 497-nucleotide ribosomal RNA is filed under the name uncultured bacterium. RNAcentral describes it as "partial 16S ribosomal RNA". It matches the Rfam family "Bacterial small subunit ribosomal RNA", at positions 28 to 507 of the family's 1533-position model. The record is from RNAcentral.
GAUGAACGCUGGCGGCGUGCCUAAUACAUGCAAGUCGAGCGAACAGACGAGUAUCUUGCUCCUCUGACGUUAGCGGCGGACGGGUGAGUAACACGUGGAUAACCUACCUCUAUGACUUGGAUAACUUCGGGAAACCCGAGCUCAUACCGGAUACUAUAUUUAACCGCAUGGUUCUAUAGUGAAAGACGGUUUUGCUGUCACUUCUAGAUGGAUCCGCUCCUCAUUAGCUAGUUGGUGAGGUAACGGCUUACCAAGGCGGCGAUGGGUAGCCGACCUGAGAGGGUGAUCGGCCACACUGGAACUGAGACACGGUACAGACUCCUACGGGAGGCAGCAGUAGGGAAUCUUCCGCAAUGGGCGAAAGAUUGAAGGAGCAACGCAGCGUGAGUGAUGAAGGUCUUCGGAUCGUAAAACUCUGUUAUUAGGGAAGAACAAAUGUGUAAGUAACUAUGCACGUCUUGACGGUACCUAAUCAGAAAGCCACGGCUAACUACGUG